Molecule: ribosomal RNA, 431 nt
Filed under: uncultured bacterium
Lineage: Bacteria
Description: bacterial SSU rRNA
Rfam family: Bacterial small subunit ribosomal RNA
Source: RNAcentral
GCGAACGCUGGCGGCAGGCUUAACACAUGCAAGUCGAGCGGGCACUUCGGUGUCAGCGGCAGACGGGUGAGUAACACGUGGGAACGUACCCUUUGGUUCGGAAUAACGCUGGGAAACUAGCGCUAAUACCGGAUACGCCCUUUUGGGGAAAGGCUUGCUGCCGAAGGAUCGGCCCGCGUCUGAUUAGCUAGUUGGUGGGGUAAUGGCCUACCAAGGCGACGAUCAGUAGCUGGUCUGAGAGGAUGAUCAGCCACACUGGGACUGAGACACGGCCCAGACUCCUACGGGAGGCAGCAGUGGGGAAUAUUGGACAAUGGGCGCAAGCCUGAUCCAGCCAUGCCGCGUGAGUGAUGAAGGCCUUAGGGUUGUAAAGCUCUUUUGUCCGGGACGAUAAUGACGGUACCGGAAGAAUAAGCCCCGGCUAACUUCGU